AGAAAGGUGGGGUAUCAGCCCCCCUCUGCACAGGGGCAAGGCAGCGAGUGAAGGUCUGGCAGAGAGGCGGAGGCUGCUGCAGAAUAAGCGGAAGGAGCCAGCUGAGGACCCAGCCCAGCGCGCCGCUCGCCUCAAGACAUUCCCCUGCAAACGAUUCAAAGAGGUGAUUCUCGCCUUCCACCCUCCCUGCCACAGGGCACUGCUGGGGCCAGGGACUGAGGAAAGAAACCCAGCCCUGUGCUCACAGCCUAGAGUUUCACACCCCUGUUCUCUCACCAGGGUACCUGUCAACUAGGAGACCAGUGCUGCUAUUCACACAGCCCUGCAGCUCCUGUGGCCUCUGGUGAUAUCCCCAUCACAGACUGUCCAGAGACUACCACCAAGCUCUCCCCUGAACCAGAGGCUGCUCAUGGGAGCAUUCCUGGGCCAGGUGUAGACUGAGACAAUAAAGAGCUAUAACCUGCUGGUUGUCAUUUG
This 477-nucleotide long non-coding RNA is filed under the name Rattus norvegicus (Norway rat). RNAcentral describes it as "long non-coding RNA NONRATT014141". The record is from RNAcentral. Lineage: Eukaryota; Metazoa; Chordata; Mammalia; Rodentia; Muridae.